CCCCUCUCUCUCCUCCAAAAUUCCUCUUCUUCCACUGCUCCCAAGGAAAAACUUUCAAAGUUCAUUUUUGCUUCAUCUUCUUCUCCAACGGCGAAGGUCUUCAUUUUUCGUACUAAGAUGAUACACUAUAAAAAAGAACAAGAUAAUCGAAGUUGACCCAUUCAAUUAUAAAAAAAAAUUAUAGAGAACGUGCAUCCGUACAUCAUCCCUACUGUUCGCGAGAUGAAGAUUAAUUACAUGAUUACAUUUAAGCCAUAUUAAAGACGAAGUGAAGAAUAACUUCCUCAGUGGAUUGAAGAAAGAUUUACAAAGGAAGAAUGUUCUUACUUCACACAGAGAUAGUGAUGACGAAAAUUUUAAGUGGUAAUAUUAUUGAAGCAAAUGUUGGUGAUGAUGAUUAUUCGAGUACCUCAAAAAUUGUAGUAGACACCUCUCUCUAUGAGAAUCUACAUAAGCGUGUUGCUAUGCUCGAGAAGGUCAUGUUGGAUAUUGCUGCCUAUAUCAAAGAAAAAAGAAUAAAGAAAAAAAUUAAAGGAUGAGCAACAACAUGAACGAGGCAACUUAAUUUAAUAAUUUAUGUAGUGGAUUAAUUUUCUGCUAUAAAUGUCAUUACACUUUAGAACAUGAUACAGUGCAUAUGGAACUUGAAGAAGAGGAGAGGAAUGAAGAGAAAAAAGUAAAAUUGAUAAGUUGACCACUAUAAUGGCAGAAGAGGAAAAAGAAGAAAAAAAGAAGGACGAACAAGUAGUAGAAUUAUGAUAAAAAAAGAAAUAGGAGAGAAAGAAGCAGAAUUAAAGAAGAUAAGGUUGAAAAAGAAAGAGAAAAAGAAGAAGCAGUAGAGGAAGAAGAUGAAAAAUAGAAGAAAAAGAAGAAACUAAAAAAAAAGUGAAGAAUUAGAGAAAAUAGAUGAAGAAGAACUGGAAGAAGAAGCAGACAAAGAGGAACAAGCUGAGAAACAAGAUAAAGAAGAAUAUAAAGAAGAAAAAGAAGAAGUAGACAAAGAAGAAGCAGAACAAGUAAAAAAGGAGGAAAAAGGAAGAAGAGAAAAAGGAGGAAGAAGAAGAUGUUGAUGAUGUGGUGAUGGGUAUCAUUGUUUUAUCAAUGAUAACAUUACUGUUGAUGAGAAAAAAUUAUUUGAAUGAUAAUGUGGUGAAAGUUUAAGACAAUUAUUUUACUUGGACAACAAAUGAAUUGAAUGAUUAUUU
This is a long non-coding RNA of Capsicum annuum, 1205 nucleotides long. RefSeq lists it as uncharacterized. The transcript has 3 exons. NCBI's taxonomy places the organism in Eukaryota, Viridiplantae, Streptophyta, Magnoliopsida, Solanales, Solanaceae. The record is from RefSeq and is a predicted model, not a curated record.